GACGAACGCUGGCGGCGUGCCUAAUACAUGCAAGUCGAACGCAGUGGGGACGGGUGAGUAACCCGUGGGUAACCUCCCAUCAGAGGGGAUAACACUUGGACACAGGUGCUAAACCGAUACUGAUGGAUGAACCCGCGGUGCAUUAGCUAGUUGGUGGGGUAACGGCUCACCAAGGCCACGAUGCAUAGCCGACCUGAGAGGGGGAACGGCCAGACUGGGACUGGGACACGGCCCAGACUCCUACGGGAGGCAGCAGUGGGGAAUCUUCGGCAAUGGACGAAAGUCUGACGGAGCAACGCCGCGUGAGUGAAGAAGGUUUUCGGAUCGUAAAAUACUGUGGUUAGAGAAGCGGUAUCUAACCAGAAAGCCACGGCUAACUACGUGCCAGCCGCCGCGGUAAUAC
RNAcentral lists this ribosomal RNA (403 nucleotides) under uncultured bacterium. Its description in RNAcentral is "partial 16S ribosomal RNA". It matches the Rfam family "Bacterial small subunit ribosomal RNA", at positions 28 to 526 of the family's 1533-position model. The record is from RNAcentral.